CCAUCAUUCAGUUGGGCACUCUAGCGAGACUGCCGGUAAUAAACCGGAGGAAGGUGGGGAUGACGUCAAAUCAUCAUGCCCCUUAUGACCUGGGCUACACACGUGCUACAAUGGUUGGUACAACGAGUUGCGAGUCGGUGACGGCGAGCUAAUCUCUUAAAGCCAAUCUCAGUUCGGAUUGUAGGCUGCAACUCGCCUACAUGAAGUCGGAAUCGCUAGUAAUCGCGGAUCAGCACGCCGCGGUGAAUACGUUCCCGGGCCUU
This 263-nucleotide ribosomal RNA is filed under the name uncultured Streptococcus sp. Its description in RNAcentral is "partial 16S ribosomal RNA". It matches the Rfam family "Bacterial small subunit ribosomal RNA", at positions 1118 to 1382 of the family's 1533-position model. The record is from RNAcentral. Lineage: Bacteria; Bacillati; Bacillota; Bacilli; Lactobacillales; Streptococcaceae.